UGCACGAAUGGCGUAACGAUGGCCACACUGUCUCCUCCCGAGACUCAGCGAAGUUGAAGUGUUUGUGAUGAUGCAAUCUCCCCGCGGCUAGACGGAAAGACCCCAUGAACCUUUACUGUAGCUUUGCAUUGGACUUUGAACCGGUCUGUGUAGGAUAGGUGGGAGGCUUUGAAGCGUGGACGCCAGUCUGCGUGGAGCCGCCCUUGAAAUACCACCCUGGUUUGUUUGAGGUUCUAACCUUGGUCCGUUAUCCGGACUGGGGACAGUGCAUGGUAGGCAGUUUGACUGGGGCGGUCUCCUCCCAAAGUGUAACGGAGGAGUACGAAGGUACGCUAGGUACGGUCGGAAAUCGUGCUGAUAGUGCAAUGGCAUAAGCGUGCUUAACUGCGAGACCGACAAGUCGAGCAGGUGCGAAAGCAGGUCAUAGUGAUCCGGUGGUUCUGUAUGGAAGGGCCAUCGCUCAACGGAUAAAAGGUACUCUGGGGAUAACAGGCUGAUACCGCCCAAGAGUUCAUAUCGACGGCGGUGUUUGGCACCUCGAUGUCGGCUCAUCUCAUCCUGGGGCUGUAGCCGGUCCCAAGGGUAUGGCUGUUCGCCAUUUAAAGAGGUACGUGAGCUGGGUUUAAAACGUCGUGAGACAGUUUGGUCCCUAUCUGCCGUGGGCGCUGGAUAUUUGAAGGGGGCUGCUCCUAGUACGAGAGGACCGGAGUGGACGAACCUCUGGUGUACCGGUUGUCACGCCAGUGGCAUCGCCGGGUAGCUAUGUUCGGAAGAGAUAACCGCUGAAAGCAUCUAAGCGGGAAACUCGCCUUAAGAUGAGAUAUCCCCGGGGCUUCGAGCCCCUUGAAGGGUCGUUCAAGACCAGGACGUUGAUAGGUCAGGUGUGGAAGCGCAGUAAUGCGUUAAGCUAACUGAUACUAAUUGCCCGUAAGGCUUGAUCC
Molecule: ribosomal RNA, 941 nt
Filed under: Burkholderia sp. Ch1-1
Lineage: Bacteria; Pseudomonadati; Pseudomonadota; Betaproteobacteria; Burkholderiales; Burkholderiaceae
Description: partial 23S ribosomal RNA
Rfam family: Bacterial large subunit ribosomal RNA
Source: RNAcentral